AUUGAACGCUGGCGGCAGGCCUAACACAUGCAAGUCGAGCGGAUGAAGGGAGCUUGCUCCUGGCUUCAGCGGCGGACGGGUGAGUAAUGCCUAGGAAUCUGCCUGGUAGUGGGGGAUAACGUCCGGAAACGGGCGCUAAUCUCGCAUACGUCCUGAGGGUGAAAGUGGGGGAUCUUCGGACCUCACGCUAUCAGAUGAGCCUAGGUCGGAUUAGCUAGUUGGUGGGGUAAAGGCCUACCAAGGCGACGAUCCGUAACUGGUCUGAGAGGAUGAUCAGUCACACUGGAACUGAGACACGGUCCAGACUCCUACGGGAGGCAGCAGUGGGGAAUAUUGGACAAUGGGCGAAAGCCUGAUCCAGCCAUGCCGCGUGUGUGAAGAAGGUCUUCGGAUUGUAAAGCACUGUAAGUUGGGAGGAAGGGCAGUAAGUUAAUACCUUGCUGUUUUGACGUUACCAACAGAAUAAGCACCGGCUAACUUCGUG
RNAcentral lists this ribosomal RNA (484 nucleotides) under uncultured bacterium. Its description in RNAcentral is "partial 16S ribosomal RNA". It matches the Rfam family "Bacterial small subunit ribosomal RNA", at positions 30 to 507 of the family's 1533-position model. The record is from RNAcentral.